RNAcentral lists this ribosomal RNA (933 nucleotides) under uncultured organism. Its description in RNAcentral is "bacterial SSU rRNA". It matches the Rfam family "Bacterial small subunit ribosomal RNA", at positions 543 to 1479 of the family's 1533-position model. The record is from RNAcentral.
ACUCGGAAUCACUGGGCGUAAAGCGCAUGUAGGCGGACUUACAAGUCAGGUGUGAAAGCCUAUGGCUCAACCAUAGAACUGCACUUGAAACUGUAAGUCUAGAGUUCGGGAGAGGCAGAUGGAAUUUCCGGUGUAGGGGUAAAAUCCGUAGAGAUCGGAAGGAAUACCUAUUGCGAAGGCGAUCUGCUGGAACGCAACUGACGCUCAGAUGCGAAAGCGUGGGUAGCAAACAGGAUUAGAUACCCUGGUAGUCCACGCCCUAAACGAUGGGUGCUAGUCGUUAGAGAGCCAGUCUCUUUAGUGAUGCAGCUAACGCAUUAAGCACCCCGCCUGGGGAGUACGGUCGCAAGAUUAAAACUCAAAGGAAUAGACGGGGACCCGCACAAGCGGUGGAGCAUGUGGUUUAAUUCGAAGAUACGCGAAGAACCUUACCUGGGCUUGACAUCCUAAGAACUUUGUAGAGAUACAUUGGUGCUAGCUUGCUAGAACUUAGUGACAGGUGCUGCACGGCUGUCGUCAGCUCGUGUCGUGAGAUGUUGGGUUAAGUCCCGCAACGAGCGCAACCCCCGUCCUUAGUUGCUAACGGUUCGGCCGAGAACUCUAAGGAGACUGCCUUCGCAAGGAGGAGGAAGGUGGGGACGACGUCAAGUCAUCAUGGCCCUUAUGUCCAGGGCAACACACGUGCUACAAUGGGGUGUACAGAGAGAAGCAAUACUGCGAAGUGGAGCAAAUCUCUAAAGCAUCUCUUAGUUCGGAUUGCUCUCUGCAACUCGAGAGCAUGAAGCCGGAAUCGCUAGUAAUCGUGAGUCAGCUAUGUCACGGUGAAUACGUUCCCGGGUCUUGUACUCACCGCCCGUCACACCAUGGGAGUUGCAUUCACCCGAAGCCGGGAUGCUAAGAUAGCUACCGUCCACGGUGGGUGCAGCGACUGGG